UUGGGUUAAGUCCGUACGAGCGCAACCUUUGUCCUUAGUUACCAGCACGUUAUGGUGGGCGACUCUAAGGAGACUGCCGGUGACAAACCGGAGGAAGGUGGGGAUGACGUCAAGUCAUCAUGGCCCUUACGGCCUGGGCUACACACGUGCUACAAUGGUCGGUACAAAGGGUUGCCAAGCCGCGAGGUGGAGCUAAUCCCAUAAAACCGAUCGUAGUCCGGAUCGCAGUCUGCAACUCGACUGCGUGAAGUCGGAAUCGCUAGUAAUCGUGAAUCAGAAUGUCACGGUGAAUACGUUCCCGGGCCUU
This 307-nucleotide ribosomal RNA is filed under the name uncultured Pseudomonas sp. RNAcentral describes it as "bacterial SSU rRNA". It matches the Rfam family "Bacterial small subunit ribosomal RNA", at positions 1075 to 1382 of the family's 1533-position model. The record is from RNAcentral. Lineage: Bacteria; Pseudomonadati; Pseudomonadota; Gammaproteobacteria; Pseudomonadales; Pseudomonadaceae.